ACAGAGACUGCAAGCGUUAUUCGGAUUCACUGGGCGUAAAGGGUGCGCAGGCGGCCGUGUGUGUUAGGCGUGAAAGCCUGAGGCUCAACCUCAGAAUUGCACCUAAAACUACACGGCUAGAGUACUGGAGAGGGUAGCGGAAUUCACGGUGUAGCAGUGAAAUGCGUAGAUAUCGUGAGGAACACCAAUGGCGAAGGCAGCUACCUGGACAGUUACUGACGCUCAGGCACGAAAGCGUGGGGAGCAAAAGGGAUUAGAUACCCCUGUAGUCCACGCCCUAAACGGUGCACACUAGGUCUUGGCGGAUUCGACCCCGUCAGGGCCCAAGCUAACGCGUUAAGUGUGCCGCCUGAGGACUACGGCCGCAAGGCUA
Molecule: ribosomal RNA, 373 nt
Filed under: uncultured bacterium
Lineage: Bacteria
Description: bacterial SSU rRNA
Rfam family: Bacterial small subunit ribosomal RNA
Source: RNAcentral